RNAcentral lists this long non-coding RNA (624 nucleotides) under Rattus norvegicus (Norway rat). RNAcentral's name for it is "long non-coding RNA NONRATT013086". The record is from RNAcentral. Lineage: Eukaryota; Metazoa; Chordata; Mammalia; Rodentia; Muridae.
CUAUGUUCUUGUUUUCUCUCAGCCAGUUCUCAGUACAGAUCGCUGUGGGGCUGGGUCAGCUCUGGGCACAGCAGAAACUGGAAGGGUCCUGUUUGAGACUGCUCCUAUAAGUCCUGAGGCUUCUAGGCAGGUUGCUUGGAACAGAAGAACUGGUCUUACCUCUGCUUUCAGGCGUGUCAGCACUUCUGAUGACUGGUUUUCAGCUCUGGGAGUGGCAAAAACUGGAAGAGUCCGGCCCCUAACUGCUCCUAGGUUUCUGUGCACAGAGGGCACAGAGGGCACUAGGUGGGUUCCUCUUGGGCCAGGGAUAUGAGCAAAAGUAGUUGUCUCCUCUGAGCUCUCAGGUUGUCUGUACUUCUGAGAGUCCAGUUCUCUCCCCCAUGGGAUUUGGGUACAGAAAGCUGUGGGAUUGGCUCAGCCCAUAUUUUUAACUCUUAAUUAAAAUAUAAUUACAUACUUUCACUACCACUUUUCUCUUCCUCUCUAGGAGUCUCACAUGUAUCCCUGUUAGUCUCUCCCAUAUUCAUGUUCUCUUGUUCUAUCACUACACAUAUACAAAUACACACACGCACACACAAAUACACCCUGCUUAAUCUACUCAGUAUGUAAAUAUAUAAAAUAUCC